AACGAACGCUGGCGGCAUGCCUAACACAUGCAAAUCGAACGAUCCCUUCGGGGAUAGUGGCGCACGGGUGCGUAACGCGUGGGAAUCUGCCCUCGGGUUCGGAAUAACAGUUAGAAAUGACUGCUAAUACCGGAUGAAGUCUUCGGACCAAAGAUUUAUCGCCCAGGGAUGAGCCCGCGUAGGAUUAGGUAGUUGGUGAGGUAAAGGCUCACCAAGCCGACGAUCCUUAGCUGGUCUGAGAGGAUGAUCAGCCACACUGGGACUGAGACACGGCCCAGACUCCUACGGGAGGCAGCAGUGGGGAAUAUUGGACAAUGGGCGCAAGCCUGAUCCAGCAAUGCCGCGUGAGUGAUGAAGGCCUUCGGGUCGUAAAGCUCUUUUACCCGGGAUGAUAAUGACAGUACCGGGAGAAUAAGCUCCGGCUAACUCCGUGCCAGCAGCCGCCGUAA
Molecule: ribosomal RNA, 449 nt
Filed under: uncultured bacterium
Lineage: Bacteria
Description: partial 16S ribosomal RNA
Rfam family: Bacterial small subunit ribosomal RNA
Source: RNAcentral